AUGGGACGCAUGGACGUGAUCCAUGCAACCACCCAAUUGGUGGAAAAAGCACCCCCAUGCAACGUCGCCCAUCCCACCCAGACACAGCCGCUGGAACGUGAUAUGAGCCUGGAAUUAACUACUGCCCCAGUAAUCGGGGAUUCUAACAUGCUAGUCGACUCCACGGAGGGGAUGGCAGCUCAGGAAGCGAUUGCCUACGCGCGUCUGAAGAAGUUCUGCUCCAGCAUCGUCAAAACUCUUGCCCCCCCAUUGCUACGUGAAGUGUCGGUGCUUCGACCUGAGGCGGAACCGUUUACCCCCAAGCGCACUACAAGAUCUUCCAAGAGAUCGGCCGGAGCAAAUACCAUCAAGUCCAACAAGGUGGAGAGUGUGCUGCUGCGUGCUCUUGGGUUGGUGCCGGAAGACAUGACGGUGGAUGACGAGGCAGUCAAGGAACUCCAAGAGUUGUUCGACUCUCCACUUAGAGAACAACACGUGAGGGUCAUAGCGGCGCUAUUUGGCAAGUGUGUCCCAACCAAUGAGGAGCUUUCUCGUGGGACUGAGGUAGCGAUCGGCGUGCUAUGA
RNAcentral lists this ribosomal RNA (564 nucleotides) under Triticum aestivum (bread wheat). RNAcentral describes it as "partial small subunit ribosomal RNA". Lineage: Eukaryota; Viridiplantae; Streptophyta; Magnoliopsida; Poales; Poaceae. The record is from RNAcentral.